GGUUAUAGCUCAGUGGUAGAGUGCUUGCCUAGCAUGUGUGAGGCACUGGGUUCAAUUCUCAGCACCA
This 67-nucleotide transfer RNA is filed under the name Marmota monax (woodchuck). RNAcentral's name for it is "tRNA.Ala". Lineage: Eukaryota; Metazoa; Chordata; Mammalia; Rodentia; Sciuridae. The record is from RNAcentral.